RNAcentral lists this transfer RNA (63 nucleotides) under Trinorchestia longiramus. Its description in RNAcentral is "tRNA-Gly". Lineage: Eukaryota; Metazoa; Arthropoda; Malacostraca; Amphipoda; Talitridae. The record is from RNAcentral.
UGAACCUUAAGUUAUAUAAAACUAGCAGCCUUCCAAGCUAUAAAAAACAAAAGUUAGGUUCAA